CCCUUAGACACUCUAGGCGGCACGCGCGCUACAAUGGGUGGAAGAACGUGUUACUGCCUCCGAAAGGAGGGGUGAAUCACGAAUUCUUGCCCGUGAAUGGGAUAGUUUGUUGCAAUUUUCGGACUUGAACUAGGAAUCCCUUGUAAACAUGCUCAAGAAUAGCGUGUUGAAUAUGUCCCUGCCGUUUGUACACACCGCCCGUCGUUUCUUCCGACUGAUACUCAUUGUGAGUUGCAAGGACCCUUUAUUGGGAAAUUGCUGCAAAUGCUUUGUAUUGGAGGAAGAAAAAGUCGUAACA
RNAcentral lists this ribosomal RNA (298 nucleotides) under uncultured eukaryote. RNAcentral's name for it is "partial 18S ribosomal RNA". It matches the Rfam family "Eukaryotic small subunit ribosomal RNA", at positions 1470 to 1796 of the family's 1831-position model. The record is from RNAcentral.